Molecule: small RNA, 274 nt
Filed under: Mus pahari (shrew mouse)
Lineage: Eukaryota; Metazoa; Chordata; Mammalia; Rodentia; Muridae
Description: sRNA (MGP_PahariEiJ_G0008318.1)
Source: RNAcentral
AUGUAGAAUGGCGAUCUGCUUGCAACAUCUGUCAUCCAUCUUGUCUGGCUACAGCAUCUGCCACCCCAGGGAAGCUCCAGUCGAUUGGCCAGUCUGCUCCUUUCCCCCUUUACUGCAUCCCUUCCCAAGCUGAGCCCUUGAUGAUCUUGUCUGGUAGAGGAGGACUGUCCUUUGGUCAGGGUGUAUGAGAAACUGCCCUCCCCUGCUGCAGCUUCUAAAUAAAUAUCUUUAGGAUAGAGGUGGGGAAAAGAUUAGGAAGGGUGGUUCUUCACUG